Molecule: ribosomal RNA, 724 nt
Filed under: uncultured Bacteroidales bacterium
Lineage: Bacteria; Pseudomonadati; Bacteroidota; Bacteroidia; Bacteroidales
Description: bacterial SSU rRNA
Rfam family: Bacterial small subunit ribosomal RNA
Source: RNAcentral
GAUGAACGCUAGCUACAGGCUUAACACAUGCAAGUCGAGGGGCAGCAUGGUCUUAGCUUGCUAAGGCUGAUGGCGACCGGCGCACGGGUGAGUAACACGUAUCCAACCUGCCGUCUACUCUUGGCCAGCCUUCUGAAAGGAAGAUUAAUCCAGGAUGGCAUCAUGAGUUCACAUGUCCGCAUGAUUAAAGGUAUUUUCCGGUAGACGAUGGGGAUGCGUUCCAUUAGAUAGUAGGCGGGGUAACGGCCCACCUAGUCAACGAUGGAUAGGGGUUCUGAGAGGAAGGUCCCCCACAUUGGAACUGAGACACGGUCCAAACUCCUACGGGAGGCAGCAGUGAGGAAUAUUGGUCAAUGGGCGAUGGCCUGAACCAGCCAAGUAGCGUGAAGGAUGACUGCCCUAUGGGUUGUAAACUUCUUUUAUAAAGGAAUAAAGUCGGGUAUGCAUACCCGUUUGCAUGUACUUUAUGAAUAAGGAUCGGCUAACUCCGUGCCAGCAGCCGCGGUAAUACGGAGGAUCCGAGCGUUAUCCGGAUUUAUUGGGUUUAAAGGGAGCGUAGAUGGAUGUUUAAGUCAGUUGUGAAAGUUUGCGGCUCAACCGUAAAAUUGCAGUUGAUACUGGAUGUCUUGAGUGCAGUUGAGGCAGGCGGAAUUCGUGGUGUAGCGGUGAAAUGCUUAGAUAUCACGAAGAACUCCGAUUGCGAAGGCAGCCUGCUAAGCUGCAA